RNAcentral lists this ribosomal RNA (385 nucleotides) under uncultured bacterium. Its description in RNAcentral is "bacterial SSU rRNA". It matches the Rfam family "Bacterial small subunit ribosomal RNA", at positions 94 to 510 of the family's 1533-position model. The record is from RNAcentral.
AGCGGCAGACGGCUGAGUAAUACAUAGGAAUCUUCCCCAGAGUGGAACAUAGCUCACCGAAGGGUGGGGUAAUUUUCCAUAACAUCUCCGGAUAAAAGCAGUAAUGCGCUUUGGGAUGAGCCUGUGUCCCAUCAGGUAGUUGGUGGGGUAAUGGCCCACCAAGCCUACGACGGGUAGCUGGUCUAAGAGGAUGGUCAGCCAGAGAGGGACUGAGACACGGCCCUCACUCCUACGGGAGGCAGCAAUCAGGAAUCGUCGGCAAUGGGCGCAAGCCUGACCGCGCGACACCGCGUGUAGGAUGAAGGUUCAAAAGAUCGUAAACUACUGUGGUAGAGGAAGAGAAAGGACGGUACUCUACUAGAGAGGGGCCGCUAACUGCGUGCCA